UGGGUACCAGGUUGACAUUUUCUUUGGGUUCUGGGAAAUAGAACCCCGAUUCCAAGAUGGACACUACUGAGUGCCCCCUGCAGGCCCCUGACAGAAUGGUGCCGUGUCAGAAUGAGCAUGUCCAGAGGAGUAUCCUGGACCUUCUCUGGGUCUCCGAGGAUCCUGUCUCACCAGCCUGGGACCAUCUUCUCACCUAGGGAAGCAGGGCGUGCCUCAUCUUGGGCAUCCCUGAGCGUCCCACCGGCCCUGCCUGUGAGUCUCAGAGGGAGCUGCCUGAAUGAUGGGUCCCUGCAAGGCAAAGGAAAGUCCGCUGUGCCCUGAACACCUUCCCUGCGGCCCUGCCAGCCGGCCUGAAGUGCCCACACCCCACACUCAGUAGAGACUUGAGGGCUCUCAAGAAAUCCUGCAGAAUCAAACACUCCUCGCAGCCCUCCUUCCUGACUCAGAAAGCCCCUCCACGGCGUGGUCCACUCCAGCUCACCCCGCCCCGUGGCAGGGAGCUCACUGCCUCCUGGGACAUCGCAUGGGAUGGGGAGCUCGAUUUUCCAGCAAAGCCGCCUGGUCCUCAUGACACCUGCUUCUCUUUCUCCUUCUCGGGGCAGAAAACCUUCUUGGGGACAGGGACUAGACCUUAAUCCCUCACUGUAGCAUGUCUGUGGUGAGCACAGUGACUGUCUGGUGGAGAAUAUUUACUCAGUGUCUGGAAGGAUGGAUGGAUGGGUGGAUGGUGGAUGUGUAGAUGGAUGGGUGAAUGCGUGAAUGGAUGGGUGGAAGGGUGAAUGGAUGGACAAAUGAGUGAAUGAACGAGCUAAUACCUCCGUGCCCCUCUGGACAUGCUGCAGUUCAGCCUUGACCUGCUCCAGCUUUCCUAAGGGCAAGUCAAGACCGGACUUUACGUUUCUUAAAUUAGCUACUAUCCUAGAUUGUUCAAAUCCUUGUGCAUCCUGCUUGCCACUGAGAGGGGAGGAUGGAAACUACUUUGAAUGUUUUGUAGAGAUAAUGCUGAUGAGGUGUGUAUACUUCAUUCACAGACCAAAAUUCUCACGAAGGCAGGCACCUCUUACUCCAGCCUGACACCCG
This 1080-nucleotide long non-coding RNA is filed under the name Fukomys damarensis (Damara mole-rat). RNAcentral's name for it is "lncRNA (ENSFDAG00000031809.1)". Lineage: Eukaryota; Metazoa; Chordata; Mammalia; Rodentia; Bathyergidae. The record is from RNAcentral.